CAACUGCAGCUCACUCCCACAAGAAACCCCGAGAAGAUCCCAUCAAACACAUCUUUAAGGAUUAAUCACCAGGAAGGAGGAAUACAUUUCACCUGUGCUAUCCCUCAGUGGCACAUCAUUAACCCGGGUGCGUCCUGCCUUAAAGGGGCUCGGCAAACACCUGUACAGGCCAGAACGCUGCCUGACUGGAUGCAGAAGUGCCCAUGAAGCUGCUCAUGAGCACCUCCAGUGAUGAGUUCUGCUUGAAGGCUUGAAGAGAAAAUCAUGGAUGUGCUUUUGAUCUUUGUCUUGCUCCGAUACUUAGAAGUAGAGCCCACAAAGCCCCCAGGAGAUUCAGCAGGAAAAUCAGGAAUAUGGCAGCGUGGUAUGAAGGAUUUGUUCCUGGCAUCAGCAAUCUCAAGUUUUGAAAUGAUAUGUCAAGUGAGAAUGAUCCAAGGACUAGUGACCAUCCAUUCUGAGUUGCUAGGAUCAGAAUGACGGGGCUUCACUUUGACUUCCAGAAGCACUGGGAGAUUCUAUAUACUCCCUAGUAACCAGAGAAUGCCCAAGGUAGCAUGUUAAAAUGAGUUCAGAGUUGGGUGCCUCCAUUACAAAACUAAACAGAUCAAGGAAAUUGGUCUAGACUGCUCUUCAAAAGAUGGUCUUCUCCUAACCUGGCUUAGCAAGAAAUAAUGAAAUCACAUCCAUGUCUGUAAUAAAGUUUUUGAUAAAACCAAACAUGUAAGAAUAUAUUAUCUAACAGGUUUGUUUUUGGAAUAAUAAUAUGCAUGUGAGAAAAACUAAAUAGCAAUAAAAAAUACUACAAUAGUACCC
Molecule: long non-coding RNA, 813 nt
Filed under: Rattus norvegicus (Norway rat)
Lineage: Eukaryota; Metazoa; Chordata; Mammalia; Rodentia; Muridae
Description: long non-coding RNA NONRATT011103
Source: RNAcentral